Molecule: transfer RNA, 63 nt
Filed under: Cuneopsis celtiformis
Lineage: Eukaryota; Metazoa; Mollusca; Bivalvia; Unionida; Unionidae
Description: tRNA-Leu
Source: RNAcentral
AACAAGUUAGUAUACUAAAUACCCUUAAUUUAGACUUAAAAAAAAGAUUAACUCUACUUGUUA